GAAACCGUCGUUAAACGAGAACGAAACGUUUAGUGCGAAUUAAAAUUGUAAAUAUUACGAAUCAAAUUGAAUGUUCCAAAUUAGAAAAGCGUGUAACUAAAAGCUUUGUAGCUCUCCGCUCAAGGAGCUGCUACCAGAGGGUGUGUAUGUCCGUCUGUGGGACUCUACAGGCGUAUCGGCGGAUCGCUGCUUGUGACAGCUGCUGUCAACGCGUAUCUGUCGGCGUCGCUGUUCACGUUUAGUAGUUGCGCUAUUCGCUGCCUCGCAAUCAACUUUUUAGACGCUGAGUUUGAAAUGUCAACUGUGG
Molecule: long non-coding RNA, 307 nt
Organism: Rhagoletis zephyria (snowberry fruit fly)
Lineage: Eukaryota; Metazoa; Arthropoda; Insecta; Diptera; Tephritidae
Source: RefSeq, a predicted model, not a curated record